AUAUCAAUAAGCGGAGGAAAAGAAACUAACUAGGAUUCCCUUAGUAACGGCGAGUGAACCGGGAAAAGCUCAAAUUUGUAAUCUGGCUGUCUUCGAUAGUCCGAGUUGUAAUCUAUAGACGUGUUUUCCGUGCUGGACCGUAUCUAAGUCCCUUGGAACAGGGUAUCAAAGAGGGUGACAAUCCCGUGCUUGAUACGACCACCAGUGCUCUGUGAUACACGCUCUACGAGUCGAGUUGUUUGGGAAUGCAGCUCAAAAUGGGUGGUAAAUUCCAUCUAAAGCUAAAUAUUGGCGAGAGACCGAUAGCGAACAAGUACCGUGAGGGAAAGAUGAAAAGCACUUUGGAAAGAGAGUUAAACAGUACGUGAAAUUGUUGAAAGGGAAACGAUUGAAGUCAGUCGUGUUCUUUGGAUUCAGCUAGUUCUUCUAGUCUACUUCCAUUGAACGGGUCAACAUCAGUUUUGUCCGGUGGAUAAAGAUAGUAGGAAUGUAGCUCCCCCGGGAGUGUUAUAGACUAUUAUUGCAUACACUGGGUGAGACUGAGGACUGCAGCUCGCCUUUUGGCCGGUCUUCGGACACGUUCGAGCUUAGGAUGUUGACAUAAUGGCUUUAAACGAC
RNAcentral lists this ribosomal RNA (618 nucleotides) under Cutaneotrichosporon dermatis. RNAcentral describes it as "eukaryotic LSU rRNA". It matches the Rfam family "Eukaryotic large subunit ribosomal RNA", at positions 40 to 648 of the family's 3401-position model. Lineage: Eukaryota; Fungi; Basidiomycota; Tremellomycetes; Trichosporonales; Trichosporonaceae. The record is from RNAcentral.